Oreochromis aureus is the source of this 1091-nucleotide long non-coding RNA. The record is from Ensembl. Lineage: Eukaryota; Metazoa; Chordata; Actinopteri; Cichliformes; Cichlidae.
GGAAACUGGAGAAUAAUAAUAAUAACUAGAAAGCGAAAAUUUCAGAAGAAAUUUUAUGUGUGCCUAUGCCGCUGCUAAUCAGUGUAGUUUGCCAUUCAUACGGCUACAGAGAGCAAAACUCAGCAGAGCAGCCAUUCUCCACCAUGAAUUAUGAUAAAAACAAACACCGCUCGCGCCUCACAGAUGACAGCUUACAGUUUUGGGUAAAGAUGAGGUGACUUCGUACAGCCCCGAUUUGCAGACGCUGUGCACAGAGGUUCAUGAGCAGAAGUCCCAUUGUAUCACGGCAGACCCCGACAAUGUUUGCAUGAACAUGCUUUGAAGCAUUACGUUAUGGACCACUUUUCACACAUGGUUGGUGUACCGACACAGGCAGCCGUAGCUUUUCAACUCAUAGCCCAACACACACCCAAAAAACAGCCAAGAGAGCACAGACUUUACACCCGUGGGUCCACCUCCCCUGCAGCGGCACUGCAGACCACGCCCCGACACACACAUCAAACACAUAAAAUAAAUAUGUAUGCACUUUCGCAUUCACUUUUUGUUUUUUGUUAUUUUUACACAGUGUUCUGAAUGAUGAACAAUGGUCUACAGCCAAUCUUGUGUAUUAUUAUACAAACUUUGGUUGUAAGAUUCAGAUAAGCAUUUAAUAAAUGCUAAAUAUUUUAUAUGAGAGUAAGAAAGAAAAGUAUAUCUUUAUGUCCACCUUUCUCUGUUAAUGCCCUACCUGGCCCCCUGACAAAAGCUUUGCUAGAUCCGCCCCUGCACAGUUACCAGCUGUCAGCUACACAAAAAAAGGAGCUUGGUGUUUACAGGGAGUACAGAAUUAUUAGGCAAAUGAGUACUUUGUCCACAUCAUCCUCUUCAUGCAUGUUGUCUUACUCCAAGCUGUAUAGGCUCGAAAGCCGCCUACCAAUUAAGCAUAUUAGGUGAUGUGCAUCUCUGUAAUGAGAAGGGGUGUGGUCUAAUGACAUCAACACCCUAUAUCAGGUGUGCAUAAUUAUUAGGCAACCUCCUUUCCUUUGGCAAAAUGGGUCAAAAGAAGGACUUGACAGGCUCAGAAAAGUCAAAAAUAGUGAGAUAUCUUGCAG